This 515-nucleotide ribosomal RNA is filed under the name uncultured bacterium. Its description in RNAcentral is "partial 16S ribosomal RNA". It matches the Rfam family "Bacterial small subunit ribosomal RNA", at positions 28 to 523 of the family's 1533-position model. The record is from RNAcentral.
GAUGAACGCUGGCGGCGUGCCUAAUACAUGCAAGUCGAGCGAAUGGAUUAAGAGCUUGCUCUUAUGAAGUUAGCGGCAGACGGGUGAGUAACACGUGGGUAACCUGCCCAUAAGACUGGGAUAACUCCGGGAAACCGGGGCUAAUACCGGAUAACAUUUUGAACCGCAUGGUUCGAAAUUGAAAGGCGGCGUCGGCUGACACUUAUGGAUGGACCCGCGUCGCAUUAGCUAGUUGGUGAGGUAACGGCUCACCAAGGCAACGAUGCGUAGCCGACCUGAGAGGGUGAUCGGCCACACUGGGACUGAGACACGGCCCAGACUCCUACGGGAGGCAGCAGUAGGGAAUCUUCCGCAAUGGACGAAAGUCUGACGGAGCAACGCCGCGUGAGUGAUGAAGGCUUUCGGGUCGUAAAACUCUGUUGUUAGGGAAGAACAAGUGCUAGUUGAAUAAGCUGGCACCUUGACGGUACCUAACCAGAAAGCCACGGCUAACUACGUGCCAGCCGCCGCAGUAA